Molecule: small nucleolar RNA, 107 nt
Organism: Dioscorea cayenensis subsp. rotundata (Guinea yam)
Lineage: Eukaryota; Viridiplantae; Streptophyta; Magnoliopsida; Dioscoreales; Dioscoreaceae
Source: RefSeq, a predicted model, not a curated record
AAUCCAUGUUGUGGAAACUUCUGCUGGAGAUCCUUCACUCAUUCCCAUGUCUCAAGUAAUGAUUCUAGCUUUAUCUGAACAUAUGAAGAGAUCUCAUUUCGAAGCUU